GCGUCUCUCUCUAAAUAUUUUUCGUUUUACGUUGGGUGUUUUAUUGACUUCGUUAUUUGAGGUUGCCGUAAAACAGUGGUACAACUUUACACUUUUACUAUGGUAUGGUAUAGGCCUACUAUUUCAUUUUCACAAAAAAUUGUUCUUAAAUAUUGGUAUGGGUGAAUUCGAUUGCAUUUUGUAGUAUUUUUCAGAAACAUUUAAGCCAGUUAUUUUGUAUUAAUACAGUAAGAUAUUGAAGGAAAUAAUGGAAGGAAGCAAAGAAACUUAUAAUCAAUGUGUUGUUCGCGAUGAGAUAUUCCCAAAUCACGAUCAACUGGAGGAACAUUGUAUAAUUCAUGUUGAAAUACAGAAUGAAAAAAUUGAACUUGAAAACAUUAUUGAGGAAGAAACAGAAAUUUGCACUAGUAUUAAAGCAGAAGUCGAACCGGAAGUAGUAAUAGAUGAAUUAGAUAGUUAUCGAUUUAACACGACAGAAGAAUUAAAAACUGUUAUAACUGAAAAUGAAGAGAGGUAUCUAGAUGAUGUCCAACAAAAUAAUGUUGAACAUGAGACAGAUAAAAUCUAUAAAUGUGAAUUUUGUGGAAAAGCUUUCCGCAAAAGAAGUUUUCUAAACACUCACAAGAAAAUUCACUCGGAACCAAAAUUUAAAUGUCAUCUGUGUGACAAGGCAUUUCACGAAAACGGUAAUUUAUUGAAGCAUCUGAUUCUUCAUUCCAGCACUCGUCCAUUUAAGUGCGAUAUUUGCGACAAAUCAUAUAAAUCAAAAUCUACUUUAAUAAAUCAUGUAAAGACCCACAGUCUGGAGAGACCCUUCAAAUGUGAAUAUUGUGACGCUGCAUUCAAAACAUCAGAUACCUUGCUCACACACACAAGAAUUCAUACGGGUGAAAAACCAUAUAAAUGUGAAAUUUGCUCAAAAUGUUUUAGUUAUCGAUUUAGUUUAAAAAAACACACACGAGGACAUACUGGAGAACGACCCUACCCCUGUGAUAACUGUAACAAGGCAUUUACAUGUAGUAGUGAUUUAACACGACACAUCCCAACUCACACUGGACAAAAAACUCAUAAAUGUGAUGUUUGUAGUAAAGCGUAUUGUCAGAAAGGUGACUUGAUAUUACAUCAAAGACAACAUAACUGAGAAAAUAUGUGAUAGGGCAUUUACUGUAACCAGAAUAAUAAUCUGAAGACAUGUUUGCCUUCACCAGUAUCUCCUAGUUUUCAAUUCAAUGCUUUAAAAGUAUGAAAUCAUUAGGCCUACCUCAAAUUCAACACAUUGUCAUCCCUACCUUGUCCUCAUCCAAAUAAAUGGAACUCUGUGUCUCCUAGUUUUCAAUUCAAUGCUUUAAAAGUAUGAAAUCAUUAGGCCUACCUCAAAUUCAACACAUUGUCAUCCCUACCUUGUCCUCAUCCAAAUAAAAUACACAUAUUCUCUUGUCUUAUUGGCUGUCAUGUACGUAGAUUAAUCUGAACUGUGGAGUACUAGUUUAACUGUUUAAAAUCAACUCACUAAUUAGUAGAUUAAAUCGAACUCACUGAGGACUAGUUUAAUAGUUUAAAAUCAUCUCACCAGUCAGUAGAUUAAUCUGUCUGUUCUCGAUCAGUAGAUUCAUCCUUGAGCUGGUCUCAUCACAUAAAUAUUAUCCCCUCCUCAAUUUUAUGGGAAAAUAACCUCUUCUACAUGUACCUUCUGGGGUUAACCCUCUCGCUUGCAUGUGUUCAGAAUAAAAUAAAACAAACCUUACACUACCAGAAUCUAAAGAGGAAUUCCGAUUGAUUGAUGCAUUAUUGUCAUAUAUGUUCUGAAUUUAGUGAUUUAGAUUGUUCAUACAUGUACUUCUACAAACAUAGAUGAAAGAAUUGCUAGGCAUUUGGUGAUCUAUGCCUGGACGCUGGCACUGGAAUAUUGUGACUUACAAUGUGUUAAUGAUCAAACUGAACAAAUUACUUUAUUGUUGUGGUUAAUUUCUUCAUGUUUCUUAAUAUUUUGGCUAAAAUAUUUUUUAUUAGAUGUACAAAUAUUUGAUGUAACUAUUAGAUCCAAGUGUUCUAGUAAAGUCAGCUGAUAAGAUAAUAUAGAGUUAACAGGUAAGACAAGAAAGAAUUUACAAUAAUGUAUAACAAAAUACCACAAAGGUAUAUCUGGAUAUAACUACUUCUCGGUUAUUUAAUAAGGAUGUUUUGUAACCAUGCAGGUCAAAGUUUCAAGUUGAAUAUUUAACAAAACUUCAUUAUUGAAUAACUGAGAAGUAAUUAUAUCCAGAUAUAGCUUGUGUUGUGUUUUGUUAUUUAGUUAACGGUACUUCUAGAUGUCAUUGAAAGAAAAGAAAUAAAUGUAUAUCAACAAGA
Patella vulgata (common limpet) is the source of this 2349-nucleotide long non-coding RNA. RefSeq lists it as uncharacterized. Lineage: Eukaryota; Metazoa; Mollusca; Gastropoda; Patellidae. The transcript has 2 exons. The record is from RefSeq and is a predicted model, not a curated record.